GUUUGUGGCUAUGCCACCCUAAAUGUGCCUGACACUGUUUUACCUCAGGAGCUAAGCAGGGCCAGGCAUAGUAUUACUUAGCAUUUGCAAAGGAAAAUGUUCACUUAAUCA
Molecule: ribosomal RNA, 111 nt
Filed under: Meriones unguiculatus (Mongolian gerbil)
Lineage: Eukaryota; Metazoa; Chordata; Mammalia; Rodentia; Muridae
Source: RNAcentral